GGGGAUGUCCUUCAUCGUGCCCGGACUCAUCAUCGCCUCCACCGGAGUUCUGUGCUUCUUCUUCCUGGUUGAGAAACCUGAAGACGUCAACUGCACACCACCUCAGCACCAUACUGAAGAGGAGAGCGGGGA
Labrus bergylta (ballan wrasse) is the source of this 132-nucleotide non-coding RNA. NCBI's taxonomy places the organism in Eukaryota, Metazoa, Chordata, Actinopteri, Labriformes, Labridae. The record is from RefSeq and is a predicted model, not a curated record.